RNAcentral lists this ribosomal RNA (934 nucleotides) under uncultured bacterium. RNAcentral's name for it is "bacterial SSU rRNA". It matches the Rfam family "Bacterial small subunit ribosomal RNA", at positions 33 to 958 of the family's 1533-position model. The record is from RNAcentral.
ACGCUGGCGGCAGGCUUAACACAUGCAAGUCGAACGGUAACAGGGAUUAGCUUGCUAAUUUGCUGACGAGUGGCGGACGGGUGAGUAAUGCUUGGGAAUCUGGCUUAUGGAGGGGGAUAACUACGGGAAACUGUAGCUAAUACCGCGUAAAAUCUUCGGAUUAAAGGGUGGGACUUUCGGGCCACCUGCCAUGAGAUGAGCCCAAGUGGGAUUAGGUAGUUGGUUAGGUAAAGGCUGACCAAGCCGACGAUCUCUAGCUGGUCUGAGAGGAUGACCAGCCACACUGGAACUUAGACACGGUCCAGACUCCUACGGGAGGCAGCAGUGGGGAAUAUUGCACAAUGGGGGGAACCCUGAUGCAGCCAUGCCGCGUGAAUGAAGAAGGCCUUCGGGUUGUAAAGUUCUUUCGGUGACGAGGAAGGUUGGUAUGUUAAUAGCAUAUCAAAUUGACGUUAAUCACAGAAGAAGCACCGGCUAACUCCGUGCCAGCAGCCGCGGUAAUACGGGGGGUGCGAGCGUUAAUCGGAAUAACUGGGCGUAAAGGGCACGCAGGCGGUGACUUAAGUGAGAUGUGAAAGCCCCGGGCUUAACCUGGGAAUUGCAUUUCAUACUGGGUCGCUAGAGUACUUUAGGGAGGGGUAGAAUUCCACGUGUAGCGGUGAAAUGCGUAGAGAUGUGGAGGAAUACCGAAGGCGAAGGCAGCCCCUUGGGAAUGUACUGACGCUCAUGUGCGAAAGCGUGGGGAGCAAACAGGAUUAGAUACCCUGGUAGUCCACGCUGUAAACGAUGUCGAUUUGGGGAUUGGGCUUUAAGCUUGGUGCCCGUAGCUAACGUGAUAAAUCGACCGCCUGGGGAGUACGGCCGCAAGGUUAAAACUCAAAUGAAUUGACGGGGGCCCGCACAAGCGGUGGAGCAUGUGGUUUAAUUCGAUGCA